GGCUCUGGUUUUGGGUUGUAGCCUGCAGAUAUUGCGCUAUCGGUGGCUCGAGCGUAAGCCUCUUGGAAUAGAGCGUAAACUUGGGUGAGAAUCCUUUGUUUCGCUCGGUGUCCGCUGUGUACGGCGCAUGUUCUCAGAGUCACGUUCCUCGGACUUGGAGCGUAAAUUAGGUGGUAGAUUUCAUCUAAAGCUAAAUAAAGGCCCAAGACCGAUAGCGAACAAGUACCAUGAGGGAAAGAUGAAAAGGACUUUGGAAAGAGAGUUAAAAGUGCUUGAAAUCGCUGGAAGGGAAGCGAAUGCAACCACACUCUCUGCUGAGAUUGCCGCGGGCGCUUGCAAGCUCUGAGCUCAGAAGCGCAAGCUCUGUGUUUGGCUGUGCGCGGGCGCUCGUGGUGUUUCUUAGUGAAGAUAUCAGGUGUCACGUACGUUCGAACAGGGCCUUGGGCAUGCAUUUGUCGCUCGUGAGCGAUAUCCUGUGCUCCGUGGGAUUCGGACAUAUGUGGCUUACUGAUUCAGUGGUUUUUUUCCACCCGUCUUGAAACACGGACCAAGGAAUCUAACC
Molecule: ribosomal RNA, 562 nt
Filed under: uncultured Symbiodinium
Lineage: Eukaryota; Dinophyceae; Suessiales; Symbiodiniaceae
Description: eukaryotic LSU rRNA
Rfam family: Eukaryotic large subunit ribosomal RNA
Source: RNAcentral